GUAAGGUUGUGUCCUUCUAAAAAUAGUCUAAAAGUUGUGACUAUUCACUAGUAUCUUUUAAAAAGUGAGAAGUUGUGAGUAUUAGAAGAAUGCAACUAUUCAUAUUGAAGGGUUGUGACUAUUCAAAUAGGCUUUAAAAAAUCUAUAAAUAGUCUCUUCCAUGCAUUUUUCAAAUCAAAUUUUCACUAAUCUACUAAUAAUAAAAUGGUGAAAAAAAUAAUGUCAAAGUUGCAACUUUUCAUCUAAACAAGGUGUCUUUUAAUCUCAAAGUGGGAUUGCUUUAAAAAAUAUUGGUUUUAUUUAAGUAAUGUGUUAGUUUAUAUAAUAAGUGUUGGUAUUUUAUAAGAACUCUCCCAAAAAUU
This is a long non-coding RNA of Brassica rapa (field mustard), 362 nucleotides long. RefSeq lists it as uncharacterized. The record is from RefSeq and is a predicted model, not a curated record. Lineage: Eukaryota; Viridiplantae; Streptophyta; Magnoliopsida; Brassicales; Brassicaceae.